RNAcentral lists this long non-coding RNA (320 nucleotides) under Olea europaea subsp. europaea. Lineage: Eukaryota; Viridiplantae; Streptophyta; Magnoliopsida; Lamiales; Oleaceae. The record is from RNAcentral.
UGUAAGAGAAUGGAUCGGUAUUUUGAUUUCUAAUAUCUUAGUGUUGGUAUAUUCCUUUUAUUUUAUUUUAUUAGAGGGGUUUCUCUUGAUUGAAUACAAAAAAGAAGACCAUUCUCUUUGUGUUUCAUAGGUCUAGGUAAGGUAUAACGAGAAAAAGCCUAUUUGACAUUGUUAACAAUGAAACUUACUAAAGAGAUUCGUUUCUUAACAAACUUUGGCUUGUCCUCAAAUACAGCAGGUCAUUUCCUAGAUCUAUUUGAAUUAUUCUUUGAAGUUUUUAAUCGAUUUCGUGUCAUGAUUUUGACUUCGUAAAUUCAUUA